ACUCGGCAAACGUUGUCUUGCCGUUAAACGCUAUUUAAAAAUAGGUGUUGGUGGUAGAAAGGUUGAAAGUUUAGGGUUGUAUGUAUUUUUCAAUGCUAAAUCAU
Molecule: long non-coding RNA, 104 nt
Organism: Melitaea cinxia (Glanville fritillary)
Lineage: Eukaryota; Metazoa; Arthropoda; Insecta; Lepidoptera; Nymphalidae
Exons: 2
Source: RefSeq, a predicted model, not a curated record